AUUCUGGUUGAUCCUGGCGGAGGUUACUGCUAUCGGNGUUUGCCUUAGCCAUGCGAGUCAAAUGUUCUUCGUGAACAUGGCGUACUGCUCAGUAACACGUGGAUAACCUGCCCUCAGGUCUGGCAUAACCCCGGGAAACUGGGGAUAAUUCCGGAUAACGCAUAUGUGCUGGAAUGCUUUAUGCGUCAAAGGUCCUCCGCCUGAGGAUGGGUCUGCGGCCUAUCAGGUANUAGCGGGUGUAAUGUACCUGCUAGCCGACGACGGGUACGGGUUGUGAGAGCAAGAGCCCGGAGAUGGACUCUGAGACAUGAAUCCAGGCCCUACGGGGCGCAGCAGGCGCGAAAACUUUACAAUGCGGGAAACCGUGAUAAGGGGACACCGAGUGCCAGCAACAUUUGCUGGCUGUCCACGUGCGUAAAAUGCACGUGUUAGCAAGGCCGGCAAGACCGGUGCCAGCCGCCGCGGUAACACCGGCGGCCCGAGUGGUGAUCGUUAUUAUUGGGUCUAAAGGGUCCGUAGCCGGUUUGGUCAGUCUUCCGGGAAAUCUGUCAGCUCAACUGAUAGGCUAUCGGGGGAUACUGCUAGACUUGGAACCGGGAGAGGUAAGAGGUACUACAGGGGUAGGAGUGAAAUCUUGUAAUCCCUGUGGGACCACCUGUGGCGAAGGCGUCUUACCAGAACGGGUUCGACGGUGAGGGACGAAAGCUGGGGGCACGAACCGGAUUAGAUACCCGGGUAGUCCCAGCCGUAAACGAUGCUCGCUAGGUGUCAUGCAUGGUGCGACCGUGUAUGGUGCCGUAGGGAAGCCGUGAAGCGAGCCACCUGGGAAGUACGGCCGCAAGGCUGAAACUCAAAGGAAUUGACGGGG
Molecule: ribosomal RNA, 868 nt
Filed under: uncultured archaeon
Lineage: Archaea
Description: bacterial SSU rRNA
Rfam family: Archaeal small subunit ribosomal RNA
Source: RNAcentral